Myotis lucifugus (little brown bat) is the source of this 1446-nucleotide long non-coding RNA. RefSeq lists it as uncharacterized. Lineage: Eukaryota; Metazoa; Chordata; Mammalia; Chiroptera; Vespertilionidae. The record is from RefSeq and is a predicted model, not a curated record. The transcript is spliced from 3 exons.
ACAUUAACUCAUUUCAAAUAGGAUGAUGAUAGGCAUCAAAGUACACUCAGCGAUUACAGGCUGUGGGGCGCCAUGCCCGCCAGUGAAAAGCGCUGACCAGCCAUCCGCCACGAGGGCUCAGGGACAAACCCGAAAGGGCAGGUGAGCGGGCGACUGGCGGCGAGGAGCUCCGGGACCUGGGCGCGUCCCUCCGCUCCAGGUGCAGCCUUUUAAGUUCCAACUCAGAGCAAGGGGGAUGAUGUUUCCCACACCAUCAUAGUAGGACUUGAACUCAAAUCUAUGUCCACAAAACACCUUGCAACCGUCAAGGGAUCUGCUCAGCCUUUCCACUUUUCCUCUGGAAUUGACAAAGGACCCCAAGGGAAAACAGAUCCAAAUGCUGGACUCACUCCUAGGCUAUUUUAAACCGCCUCUCUACCUUCCCAAGGACUGCUGGUUAACAACACCAACCCAUCAGACACACUGAGAAAAUUAUGAAGCAAACCCUUUGACAGAAGGAGAAGCCAACUACAGUCAUAGUGGCUUUGUAGUGGGCUCUUUCAUCAGACGUUUUGUGUAAUAAGUUUUACUCGUGGUAAACAUUGCACCUUCUUAUCCAAGCAAUACUAAGGGUACCCGCCCCCCUCCCCCCCCCCCCUGGCAAAAAAAAGACUCUUUAAAAAGUCUUUGGUUGUUAUACCAUAAAUCAAUUCACAAAUUUAUGUCAUCACUAACAUCAUCUGUAAAUUUAAUAACAUAAAAUGCAAGUAAAUUCUGUUUCCAUCCAUUUUUAAGGUGAAAUAAUGUUGAAAUGAGCUCCAUCUUUGUCAUUUGUUUAAUAUUAAAAUUUGAGUUGCCCAAAAUGAUUCUGAUAUUGACUUUGAAGGAUCUUUUAAACAAUUUUAAUUUGACCCUCUGAUUGGGUUCUCCAUUUUACCUAGUUAAGACUUCUUUUUUUGAAGUUGCAAAAGAGACUCAUAAUUUUUUUUCAAAUGUGUAUAAUGAUUUUUAAAUUAUUAAAAUGAACAUUUUAAGAAUUUCUUAUCUUGGGGUUUUCUCACCAAAGAAAACAAUACUUGGUAUCAUGUGCAGCUUUACAGCAAUAAAACUGAUCUUUAAUUAAGCAUCUAAGUACCUGUUAGAAUUUGUAGAUUUGCUGCUGCUGCUGGCCACUACUGUUCACUAUUUGUGGUCAAAGGCCUGUUCUCAACCACUUCAUUUUCAAGUUCAAAGCAGGAGGCCUAGUGGACAAUCACUCUUUUUCAACAUGAUUUCAGCUUGUUUUGAAUUUUUCGCAUCACAAAUAUUUUUUCUAUAAGCACAUGACUUAAAUAUAUUGUCUUAAGUAUAUCAAGAACUAUGUUGGGGGGCAAUUGGGAAAAGGGGGACAUAUGUAAUACUUUCAACAAUAAAGAUUUAUUUUAAAACAUUAAAAAAUAAAAAGCAGAACUUUUAGUCCAUUUGUAU